CUGUCUCUCUCUCUCUCUCUCUAAAAAAAUGAGUAAAUAUCUAAAAAAAUUUAAAAAAAGAAAUGAAUGCUCACAUAUGGCCAGACAUACCCAGGUUUACUCAGCUCUUCACUGGCCAUGAGUUAUCGUUCCAAGGCACUUGUGGUAGGGCAGUAGUGCAUUGGUGCAUCGGUGAUAAUGUGCAUGGUUUUCUCCUCCGCAGAUAAAAUGUGUCAUUACUGCUUUACGUGUUUUCCAAAUCUGAAGCUGGAACACUGCCUGGAUGAGAAUAGAAGUGGUAGGGGUGUGCCUAUUAAAACUGCAGGUGUCUAGGCCUUGUCCCAGAUCUCGCUGACUCAGAAUCUCUACGCAGGUAUCUCGUGAUUCUGCACACUGAAGGUGGCGAGGCUUGCUCUCUAUACCCCAUUUUGUUCUGAGUCCCAACCCACCCUGUUCUCUCCAUCACAUCUUGGUCAAUGUGAGGCUGCCAUCUCCCAGAGCAGCAAGUGGCACAGAGGUUAGCUGUCAAUUGCUCAUUUGAAGUUUCUGGGCCUCAGUCAUAUGACAACAGCAAUUCCUAUGGUUACUCAUGCCUUGUUCAUUUAUACUGAAGCCUUAACCCCCAGGAAGAUCUUCCUUCUGAUUGGUAAUUCACAGUACUCAAAGGAAAAGGAUAAAAUGUAGAGCAAAUACAGACACGGGCUCUGCUCUGCUGAAGCUAACAAUUUAGUGGAAAAGACAGACAUUGGAUAAAUAACCACACAGAUAUACAGAACCUAACAGAACUUCUGAGGAAGAUGCAGAGUAGGAGAACCCUCAGCUCACACGUCCCAUGGAUACAACUAGAUAACAUUCAUGCCAGUGUAAACAAUAACAAGACAUAGAACAACAUCCAUCAAUAAAUAAAACAUGGUACUUAUCUGUAAUGUAACACUGUUCUGCUACUUAAAAGAAGAAAAUCCCACCAACUGAGAUAACAUGAAGGGAACUUGGGGGGUUAUCCUAAGUGAAAUAAGUCAAACAGUGUACGACAAAUAAUACUGUAUGAUCUGACUCAUGUGAAAUUAAAAAAAAAAAGCAUACCACAAAAAG
Molecule: long non-coding RNA, 1071 nt
Organism: Suricata suricatta (meerkat)
Lineage: Eukaryota; Metazoa; Chordata; Mammalia; Carnivora; Herpestidae
Exons: 6
Source: RefSeq, a predicted model, not a curated record